This 221-nucleotide ribosomal RNA is filed under the name uncultured bacterium. RNAcentral's name for it is "partial 16S ribosomal RNA". It matches the Rfam family "Bacterial small subunit ribosomal RNA", at positions 524 to 742 of the family's 1533-position model. The record is from RNAcentral.
UACGGAGGGUGCAAGCGUUAAUCGGAAUUACUGGGCGUAAAGCGUGCGUAGGCGGUUCGUUAAGUCUGUUGUGAAAGCCCCGGGCUCAACCUGGGAAUGGCAAUGGAUACUGGCGAGCUAGAGUGUGUCAGAGGAUGGUGGAAUUCCCGGUGUAGCGGUGAAAUGCGUAGAGAAUCGGGAGGAACAUCAGUGGCGGAAGGCGGCCAUCUGGGACAACACUG